CGCAGGUUCGAAUCCUGCACGACCCACCAGUUUUAGCAUCGAAGACAGAUGUUAAGCGUGUAGGAUAACGUUGCGUCAGCAACGGCCCGUAGGGCGAGCGAAGCGAGUCAUCCUGCACGACCCACCA
Molecule: small RNA, 127 nt
Filed under: Escherichia coli
Lineage: Bacteria; Pseudomonadati; Pseudomonadota; Gammaproteobacteria; Enterobacterales; Enterobacteriaceae
Description: partial RtT sRNA
Rfam family: RtT RNA
About the family: This family represents a bacterial cis-regulatory element known as RtT RNA.
Source: RNAcentral